RNAcentral lists this unclassified non-coding RNA (1413 nucleotides) under Leishmania donovani. Its description in RNAcentral is "gene:LdHU3.25.2810(CDS-product:glycosome_import_p rotein_putative)". The record is from RNAcentral. Lineage: Eukaryota; Euglenozoa; Kinetoplastea; Trypanosomatida; Trypanosomatidae.
AAUAACAACAAAACGGACUAGCGUUUAUCCGCGUCUGCUGUCUUACUGCGUCGGGCUCGAGGUUGUGUGUGCUUCUUCGCCCGUGUGUACGUAGGUCUCUCUACACCUUUUUUCUCUGAGCACCUCUCUGCGAUUCUCACGUGUGGCAUUCAGUGCAUCAUGGCGUGGCUCGGAGACGCGGUCGACGCGCAGUACACAAUCGACACGGUGUCGAAGCAGCAGGCGCUGCUGCCGUCCUCCAACGCCUUUUCGAUCUUCCCGAAGGAUCACGUCCUGCGCAUCUUUCAGCUGGAUGCGCUUGUGCUGCAACAGGAGCUCGUCGAGAUUCUGCAGACGACUCUCUUCCAUGUGCUUGACAUCCCGCCCCUCCAGCACUUUCGCUUCGCCUAUCAGGAGGAGCUUGUGCUCGUUUUGGAUGCCCUGUUGUACCGUCUGUCGGUGUGGCGCAUGGGGCAGUCCAUCGGGGACCGACUGCAGAACUUAGUCCUUCGCGAUGAAGAGCGGGCGCGUCUGCUGGCCCUGCAGAACACAAAGUCGAUCCUGCCCAGCCUCGCUCCAUCCCGCCGACUACUGCUGGUGCACGCAAUCAUGACGCUCGUAAUGCCUUACGUCACCCGCAAGGUGCAGCGAAAGGUGCUAGAGGAGGGAUGGGAGCGUGAGCCUGUCACGACGGCGCGGCAUCGCAUCGCCAAGGCGCUCCGCUAUGGCGUUGUCACAUGGUCUUUGCUCUCUCUUGCCAACACGUUUAACUUCCUGAUGACGGGGAAGUACCGCACCCUCGUCGAGCGCAUCCUGUCUCUCCGUCUCGUCUACGGCUCGCAGCGGAUGAUGCGCUUUACAAAUCUGCUCUACAUGAAUCAGCACGUCCAGUGGCAAACGUGGAUGUCUCUCUUCAGAGCGCUUAGUCUGGGGCGAUACUUCCGGCGACUCAUGAAAAGCCUCAGCUCCGUUGCAUCGUCGUCGGCGUUGCUCUCCAUGAACGAGAACUUGUGCAGCGCGUGCCAUGAGCUGCCGACAGUGUGCCAGCGGUCGAACUGCGGCCACCGUUACUGCUAUUACUGCAUCAAGAGUCGGCUGCUCGAUAGUCAAUCCACCGGCUCCUUUCGUUGUAUAAAGUGCGGCCAAGCCGUGCACAGCUGCGCCCCUGCGUAAGCCGCAAGGGAAUACCCACCUGUCGUGUUGUGCGUAGCCGUCGUCCCUGCUUUGUUGCUCUGCCUACGUGCGUCGGCCUGCCUCUCUCUGUAUGUUUAAGUGAAGUUGUCUGGCUGUAUGGGCUUCCGUAGGUCAUGUGAGAUGGUGGCGAUGGUUCUCGCCGAAGAGCGACGUCGGGUCCCACGACCAUAUGUGUUUGUAUGUGUGUAUGUAUGUAUGCGUGAGGAGGUGCGGCUCUCGGAAUACGUGUGUCGCUGCCGA